RNAcentral lists this ribosomal RNA (253 nucleotides) under uncultured bacterium. Its description in RNAcentral is "partial 16S ribosomal RNA". It matches the Rfam family "Bacterial small subunit ribosomal RNA", at positions 524 to 776 of the family's 1533-position model. The record is from RNAcentral.
UACGUAGGGUGCGAGCGUUAAUCGGAAUUACUGGGCGUAAAGCGUGCGCAGGCGGUUCGUUAAGUUCGAUGUGAAAGCCCCGGGCUCAACCUGGGAAUUGCAUUGGAAACUGGCGGGCUUGAGUGUGGCAGAGGGGGGUGGAAUUCCACGUGUAGCGGUGAAAUGCGUAGAGAUCGGGAGGAACACCAGUGGCGAAGGCGGCUACCUGGACCAGCACUGACACUGAGGCACGAAAGCGUGGGGAGCAAACAGG